AGUGAACGCUGGCGGUAGGCCUAACACAUGCAAGUCGAACGGCAGCACAGUAAGAGCUUGCUCUUACGGGUGGCGAGUGGCGGACGGGUGAGGAAUACAUCGGAAUCUACUUUUUCGUGGGGGAUAACGUAGGGAAACUUACGCUAAUACCGCAUACGACCUACGGGUGAAAGCAGGGGAUCUUCGGACCUUGCGCGAUUGAAUGAGCCGAUGUCGGAUUAGCUAGUUGGCGGGGUAAAGGCCCACCAAGGCGACGAUCCGUAGCUGGUCUGAGAGGAUGGAUCGCCAAACCGGAACUGAGGCACGGUCCAGGACCCUAAGGGAGGCAGGAGGGGGGAAUAUUGGACAAAGGGGGGAAACCUGAUCCAGCCAUACCGCGUGGGUGAAGAAGGCCUUCGGGUUGUAAAGCCCUUUUGUUGGGAAAGAAAAGCAGCAGGUUAAUACCCCGCUGUUCUGACGGUACCCAAAGAAUAAGCACCGGCUAACUUCGUG
RNAcentral lists this ribosomal RNA (492 nucleotides) under uncultured bacterium. Its description in RNAcentral is "partial 16S ribosomal RNA". It matches the Rfam family "Bacterial small subunit ribosomal RNA", at positions 29 to 507 of the family's 1533-position model. The record is from RNAcentral.